This 7427-nucleotide long non-coding RNA is filed under the name Sus scrofa (pig). RNAcentral describes it as "lncRNA (ENSSSCG00015050867.1)". The record is from RNAcentral. Lineage: Eukaryota; Metazoa; Chordata; Mammalia; Artiodactyla; Suidae.
UCCCAGGAUAGGGGUCUAAUCAGAGCUGUAGCCACCAGCCUACUCCACAUCAACACUGGAUCCGAGCCAUGUCUGUGACCUAGACCACAGCUCAUGGCAACGCAGGAUCCUUAACCCACUGAGCAAGGCCAGGGAUUGAACCCACAACCUCAUGGUUCCUAGUCGGAAUCAUUAACCACUGAGCCACAUCGGGAAUUCCGAUAAUAAUUUAGUGUAUAAUAUCUAAUCUUAGCUUUUUGCAUCAUAUAAAUGACUUUAUUUGCAUGUGCUUUUCUUCUUAAUUCAUUAUCAUCUUAACAUUUUAUUAGUAAUAAUAAUUAUGACGAAUGAAACUGGGAUUUGCUCCAUUCUUUCAUGUGUCCCACUAGGCCAUUUUCUCCUGGAGAAUCACUGUCACUCAUUACCUUUUAUUUAAAGCCCUUCAGGCAAGAUUAAACACAAGUCAUGUCAAAAUAGCCCCGUGACUUUUUAAAAAUAUAUAUAUUAUAUAUUUUCUCAAAAUCAAGGUAUAAAAAAUAUACAUAACAUGCAUGCACAUGCACAUGCGUAUGCACACACGCGCAUACACACACAACCAUGUACUGAUAGGCAGCUAGAAAGGGGUUGAAAAGUAUGCGAUUUUUUCAAUUCCAUUGGUAGAACUAUGAUAUGGCAUGUUUGACAGACAGAACAGUGGGUUGAAAGUCUGGUGGUUGUUUUCGGAUCCCUCAGAACUCCAUCAACAAAUAGCAGGUUGGCCUUGAGCAAAUCUUAUCCCUUUGCAGCCUCCUCUCUUUUUCUUGACAAUGAGGGUAUCUGAACACUCAGCUUCUAAAACCCUUCCACCUUGAGUAUUCUUUGAUUUGGCCCUGGUAGAAUGCCUUCAGGAGAAAAUUAAUAAGGCAAAAAAUCUUUCCUAUAAAGCUUAUGGAGAAAACAGAAGUGGAGCCUCAAUGAGCAGAAAAUUAAAUUGUUCUCAUAAUGUUGCCACUUUCAAAAAUGCAACUCUGCCAUGUUAAUGUAGGAGAUGCCCUGAAUUCCAUAACAAAUUGACCGAAGAAAAUAUCUAGGUUGUCUAGUAGGUAUAAAAAAUAGCAGACCUACUCAAAAUGAAGGGAAAUGCAUGUUCAAGAAGACACUGCAGAAAUGGGCAGCUCUGGGCCCUCCAGCUCAUCAGUUUACAGUGUUAAAUAAUGAGAGGGAUAAAACCUGUCACCUUCAGACAGAUGGACUUUGAAUCCUCGAGACAGGCUAUGGUCUUUAUCUCAUUUAGUAUCUGUCAUAAUGAUAGGUGAAAAUAUACUCUGCAGUAUUUGUAAGCCUUUCAUCUUAAUGGAUUGAUAGUCCCAGAUGCUGCCCUUUAUGACUGGCUUCCAGCAAAAUAUUCAACAGAACCUCCCAAAUUAGACCAUGAACUCUUGGCAGAAUAGGGAAGCUUUGCAUUAACCUGCUUCUACUCAGCACAUGCAAUAACACUACUAUAAAAAGUGUUUCAAAGCAAACAUGUAAGAAAGGGUAAGUUUAUUUGUACCUAAGCAUAUUUGGCAAAAGAUAAUUUUAUCAUUCAAUAAUAAAAAAUAAUUGAAACUUUUAACUACAGUGAUUAGUAUUUUUAUAUACCAAAUAUAUAUUUUAUUUUAAUUUUACAUAAACAGAUAUUCCUAUGUGGCUUAAAUGGCAAUAACUGAUUAUGGGAAAUGUUUGGUAAUAAAAAUACCUAUUGUUUAUUUUUUUCUUUGAAAAUUGAACUAGAGUUCUCUUGGACUGCAGUAUUUGCAGCAAUUUCAACAACAUUAAGUAAUCAGUGUAAAAUAUCUUUGAUGUGCUUCAGCAACCUUUUGAUAAGUCACGGUAAUAGAUUAGAGAAUUCAAAACAACUCAUGGCUGCCUUUAAAAGCCUGAGAUAGUGUAGUAUCUUCCAAUGUUACAGCAUUUUCGAAAGUUAAAUUAUAAGCAGCCAGGAACUGCUUAUAGACAUUCUUAGACAGUUUCAACUAUUUUUGGAAUGUGUUAAACAUUUUAAACUGAACAAGCUGCAUUUGUACUCCCCUAACAAUACCAGGCUUUAUGAGAGGGCUAGUGGUUUAUUUCUCCAACCAAGGCAUUCAGUAAGCAUUGCUUAAGGAAUCUUUGGUACAUGGUCAUAUAGGCCCUUGGAGGACACAGAAGUUCAAGGAUUUUGAAGUUAGUUUGGGAGAGUAAAAGUGAUAAACUAAUAUUUGGUGUUUCCAAUAGUAAUAACGGAUAUUAAUAGUUGAAUCAAUAGAUUAUAGAGGUGCAAGUCUCUUCUCAAGAAAACAAGCUAGGAAAAUGUGAUUUACAUUUUUCUUUAUUUUUUUUUUUCCUACAGGGUUGACUGAACCACUGUGACUCAACCACAGUGGAGCCUAACAGUAAAACAAAAGAGUCACGUUUUGCUUUCUCUAACUUUAGUGGCCUAGAGAGUAAAUACACAAAACAAGAAUUCCUUCUGGCACAACCCUCUCUGAGCAUUUAUAUGAUUUAAAUUAUUUGUAUGGCAAAGAAUCCUUUGAAGAGUACAUAUUAACAUAAAUCUUAGUCUGAGACACUGAUUUUUUAAGGAGGUAUUUUUGGAGAAAGGAUUUCUCAAAAGUCAAGAAUUUAAAUUUUUGCUAUUUAUUACUAAACUUAUUUCCAAAAACAUUGUAUUAUGGCCAGGCUUAUAUAAUAGUACCCAUUUCAUUGAACUGGAAAAAGGUUGAUAAUUAUCAUUUUAACUGUUUAGAUAAUUUUGUAACAAAAAUGUUUCUUUUUUCUGAUUUCAGGUGAGGUACUCUUCUCAUAUAUUUGUUAGCAAUGUAUGUUGCUUUGAAUUAUUUCUUCAAAUCUGCUACUUUUACCAACUGCAUUUGAAGUUUUCUUGCUAUUUUUUAUAUACCCUUUAUAUACUGAGUUUUUCAAGAUUUUGUCAUAUUUGCUACAAAUGUUUCCCUGACUACUAGUAAACGUUCCGAUUUUGUAUCAUUGUAUUAAUAUAUCUUGAAAGCGAUUUUUUUUAAACUGACUUUUUGGACAAUUCACAUGCUUUUUAUGCACAGAGGCAGAAGCUGAAUUCUUCCCAGAAUUCCAUUCCAUUCCUAUAUUUGGAGCAUACAGGGUGGUGCCCUGCCAUUUGAUUAUUUAGAAAGCUUUUUAUCACCAUCCUUGGGAUUAUCUUUUUCUCAUUGGUGGCAGGAUUUUUUCUUUUCAAAAUGACACACUGAGAAAAUCUAUAAGGGGACACUGCAAUAUUGCAUUAGACAGGAAUGUGGAGGAAGUGGUAUUUCUUUUAUAUUCCAUGUCCCAUGCUAGGAGAGUUAUGUAUAUUUCUUUAAUCUUUAAAAUCCUAGAAUGUUAAUAUAUAGCAAAUUUUAUGCUUCGAAGAUUGUCCUGAAGUUACAUAGUUAAUACGUAAAAAAACACAAAAAACAAAAACCUGGAUUCCAACUCAAAUUUAUCUCAUAACGUGGUAUGACAUUGACUUACCUGGAUGACACUUAGUAAACUUGAUUUAAUUAACAAUUUAUAUGGCAAUGUAUAUGGCCUAAACAAUUACUAUAGGUCUGUAUAUUAAAUUCUUAACUAUGUUUUAAGAUUCCAGACAAUGUCCAAUUAUUUUAGAAGCCAGUCAAAUGUAGACUGAGACUUUUCUUCUUCUAUGCUUUUAUGGCAUGAUUUUAUGCCCUACUGUAUUAUUCUGCAAUUUUCUGUUAAAACUGUCAAUAUAAUAUUCCACACCAAAAUUUAAGCUUCUUGAAAGCCUAUUCUUAAUUUCUCUAUAGUAUCUCCUAGUUUCCACUUCUUGGCUAAAAGUCCAGUUCCUAAGAGGUGAACCUAUGAAAUUACAGUUUAAAGAAAGUAAGAGCAUCACCCAAGGAAAUGGCAUGUGUAUAAACAAAGCAUGGUUGUUACAGGGUAUUGUGAAAUCAUAUACUACUCAUGCAGUAAUAGAAUUGGCAGGGAAAGGAAAUAGUACAUAAGCCAAGAAAUACUCAGGUAUGACUUCGGAUACACAGGAAGAUUUCAGAAAGAAAAGUUCAGAAUAAAAGUUUAGAAUAGCACAAGACAAACUCUACAUUUUACAGUCAAGAACGCUGAGGUAUAUGGAAUGACUGGCCAAUGGGGACUUGCUGUAGAGCACAGAGAAAUGUACCAAAUAUGCUGUGAUAAUCUAUGUGGGAAAAGUAUCUGAAAGAGAAUGUAUGUGCAUAUAUGCACACCUGAAUCACUUUGUUGUACAGCGGAAAUUAUCAAAAUAUUGUAAAUCAACUAUACUGCAAAAAAACUUUAAAAAAUGAAAAAAAAAAAAAGAAUACUGAGGACCUGAUAAGUUAUAUCACUUGAAAUUGGUCACACCAAUUAAAAUGUAAAGAAUGGUUAUCUAUGUAAAUAUCUUAACUAUGCUCAUUCACAAACAACUUUUAAUUAAAACUACUAGUAAAGAAGGUUAAGCACUCAAAGAUAUAAAAGAAAUGACUUCUAUCUUAAAAUAGUUUAAAUUAACAGCAUUUUAACAUUAAUGGGAUUUUUAACUAAGGUCAAUAUAAAGAGUUAAGUUUUUUUUCAGGUAUACUUUAAAAAUCUUUGUUGUUGUUGUUGUUGUUGUUGCCUUUUUGUCAUUUCUAGGGCCACUCCAUGGCAUAUGGAGGUUCCCAGGCUAGGAGUCUAAUCAGAGCUGUAGCCGCCGGCCUAUACCAGAGCCACAGCAACACGGGAUCCAAGCCAUGUCUGCAACCUACACCUCAGCUCACAGCAAUGCCGGAUCCUUAACCCACUGAGCAAGGCCAGGGAUUGAACCUGCAACCUUAUGGUUCCUCCUCAGAUUCGUUAACCAUUGAGCCACGACAGGAACUCCCCAGGUAUAAUUUAAAUCUUCAUUUAGGUUUAUAUUGAGAGGUAAAAAGAGACAGAAAUGGAAUUUAAUUAUGAUUAAUUUUUCUUGCCACUCAUAUAAACUUGAAUUUUUGUUGGCUAUAAGGUACAAAUUCACCUUCUUUCCCUGACAGCAGGUUUUUAUUUGUCACAGGCUUUCAAAGAAAAUGAAGUUGCUGCUUUCUCCUGAGAAAUUCCACUGUUUUGGUGAUUAAGCUUCUUAAGGUCAGGACCCCAGUCCUAUCUUUGUUUUAUGCUUCUCAGAAUACAAUGCGACUUUUGACUACAUUUUAAGUAUUUAAAAACUAUAUGAUAAAAUGAUUUAGUUAUACAUGACCUGCUAAUCUUGUCAAAAUAAGAUUGCAUAGCAAUGAAUCUCACACUGUUCCUAUGUUAAAAAUAAAAUAAAUAAAUAAAUAUAUGGUUCAAUUUCCUUAAACAAUGCAGCCAAACUGAAGCUCAGAAAUCACACUGAUAUAUUCCCUGAGAAACUCCUAUUAUUCUUAUUUACUUAAACAAGUAAAUUUUAUAGAGUACUAUAAAAUAUUAGUAGUAAAAUAUGAAUAUCUCAUUUGUUACCUUUUUAACCCAUAAAACAUAUGUAAAAAUGUUAAUAUAGUGUUAGGAUGUCAUUUUCUAUGUUAAGCAAGGCAUAAAUUGAAUUCCAAAAAAGAGGAAUGACAAAUCUCCUUCAUGCCUUUGCCAACCUCGAUCAAUUGUCAGUGGCUGCCUGGAGUGUUCUUUUUAAAGAGGAAUCGUGAGGCUUUCUGUAGGCUCAGCAGGAAAGCGUGCCAAGAUCAAUUAUUGAUGUCUGCCAUGGGCAUACAAGAGAGUGGAUGACAGUGUAUAAGCCAUGAAUUUUCUUAUCUGUGCACUAGAGCUUGAACUAUGUAGUCAUUUUAAUUAUUAAGACAUAGGCAUAUUCUUGCCAGAUGAGUGUCAUGACAGGAAAAAUAACCUCUAAGAAUGUACACUGACUUUUAGGAGGCUUGUUUACUACUUGUUCCAAUGAAGUGGUAAUAGACCUCUAAAAGGAUUGUCAUUCUUCCAGGGUACUAUUGUCAGAGGAAUAGUGUCCUAGUUCAUAUCACUCACUCUUUCCUUUGUUGACUGUUAAAACAGUUUUCCAGAAAAUUAAAAAACAAAAAAUGACCAGGUGAAUUAUGUGUUACUUUUACUGAAAUGUAUUCAAAUGUGUCUCCUAGUGUCAAAAAAGGGAAAAAAAAAAAUGGAAAUUUGGAGAGGUAAUUGUUUAAAUCCACAGUCUUCUACUGUCCCUCUAUUUCAGAAUAAGAAGAUUUGGCUUUGAUCUCCAACCAGACCAUUUGGUAACAGUGCCUAUGGGGAUCAGAUAAACUAAUAAAUAAAUGUCAAAAUUCUCUGCUUGUGUCCUAAUAUUAAUUAGUGCUAGUAUUACUAUUUACUCCUGCUUUUAUUCACAAUCUUGAUUUCUGAUUUUGAACCUAAUCUCAGUUAUCUGAGUCCAAUUCCUUUUUCUAACUUUCCCAAUGCUUUCUUUUCAAUGUCUUGAUUUUCGAACUAUAUGCUGGCUACAUUAACCUGUCUCAUAAACCUUAAAAUUUUCAGCAGAAUACUUAUUCCCUAACCUAUAAAAUGCUCCCUUGAAAUGCAAAAAUACACAAAUAACAGCAAAUGCUAUCCCCAUUGGAAACAAAAAUAUUUGGUAAAUUCUCUAAUUUCAUUCAUUCAGGUUUGGUAUCAAAGCGAAAUGAUUACAGAGGUAAUUUAAUUUCUUAUUUGCAGAUAUAAGCAACAUUCCUCUAGGAAUUAUAUACUGUUGUACUUGUGAGGAAUAGUAAUCAAGACUAAUAUCUUCAAAUUAGAAAUUACACUGAAAUUUUAUGUAAAAAUUAAAAAACAAUAAAUGAAUGAGAUGUAUCUUUAUGCUGAGUAGAGGCAAUGAAGUAAAUGUUGCUUACAAAUUCUAUAUUAUUUUAUUCACUUUAUAUAUAAUGGGAUAAUUAUAAUUUCCAUGAAAGUUUUUAUAAUACACCAGAAAACUGAAAAUCAUUAUUUUACCUCCUUCUACACAGUAUCACAUCAACAGAUCUUUCCAACUGCACCUUUAAAAUAUAUUGUUGAUACAUUUAUUUUCUCUAACUUUCUGCUACUACCUAUAUAUAAAAUAGAAUCAAAGCUUACUAAUAGUGCUAAAAUAACCCCUCUUUAGUCGCCUAUUUUACACCUGGCCCCAUCACCUCCAAUACAUUUUUUAUCUACCAAUUUGACUUACUUUCAACACGCAUAUCAGAUUGUUCCAUUUUCUUGCCUCAUAUUCACCAAUGGUUUUCUAAUUGCACCGCUUAUUGGGUUUUUAAAUCCCUCAAUCCACACCAUCUUCUUUUUCCACAGGUUCUAGCUACAAAGGCCUUAUAAGUGCUCAACACCACCAUAGCUCUUAUAUUCUUGCCCUGACCUCUAAGCGCUCUAGCUCUUUCUCAUCCUUCUAGGUCUUCAGGUAUCUACUUACCAGUCAUAUGUUAUGUGACUACCUCACCUAAGUAACCCCCAUUCUUUCAUAUAAAAGUCUAUUUAAUUUGUCAUAGUUCUUCCUG